This 507-nucleotide ribosomal RNA is filed under the name Aggregatibacter actinomycetemcomitans. RNAcentral's name for it is "bacterial SSU rRNA". It matches the Rfam family "Bacterial small subunit ribosomal RNA", at positions 597 to 1105 of the family's 1533-position model. The record is from RNAcentral. Lineage: Bacteria; Pseudomonadati; Pseudomonadota; Gammaproteobacteria; Pasteurellales; Pasteurellaceae.
AAAUCCCCGGGCUUAACCUGGGAAUUGCAUUUCAUACUGGGGGUCUGGAGUACUUUAGGGAGGGGUAGAAUUCCACGUGUAGCGGUGAAAUGCGUAGAGAUGUGGAGGAAUACCGAAGGCGAAGGCAGCCCCUUGGGGAUGUACUGACGCUGAUGUGCGAAAGCGUGGGGAGCAAACAGGAUUAGAUACCCUGGUAGUCCACGCUGUAAACGGUGUCGAUUUGGGGAUUGGGGUUUAGCCCUGGUGCCCGAAGCUAACGUGAUAAAUCGACCGCCUGGGGAGUACGGCCGCAAGGUUAAAACUCAAAUGAAUUGACGGGGGCCCGCACAAGCGGUGGAGCAUGUGGUUUAAUUCGAUGCAACGCGAAGAACCUUACCUACUCUUGACAUCCGAAGAAGAACUCAGAGAUGGGUUUGUGCCUUAGGGAGCUUUGAGACAGGUGCUGCAUGGCUGUCGUCAGCUCGUGUUGUGAAAUGUUGGGUUAAGUCCCGCAACGAGCGCAACCCU